UGGGGAAUAUUGCACAAUGGAGGGAACUCUGAUGCAGCAACGCCGCGUGCGGGAUGACGGCCUUCGGGUUGUAAACCGCUUUCAGCCAUGACGAAGCUUUUGUGACGGUAGUGGUAGAAGAAGCACCGGCUAACUACGUGCCAGCAGCCGCGGUGAUACGUAGGGUGCGAGCGUUGUCCGGAAUUACUGGGCGUAAAGAGCUUGUAGGCGGUUUGUCGCGUCGAUAGUGUAAACACGCAGCUUAACUGUGUGCCUGCUGUCGAUACGGGCUGACUAGAGGAGGGUAGGGGAGAAUGGAAUUCCCGGUGGAGCGGUGGAAUGCGCAGAUAUCGGGAGGAACACCAGUGGCGAAGGCGGUUCUCUGGACCUUUCCUGACGCUGAGAAGCGAAAGCGUGGGUAGCAAACAGG
Molecule: ribosomal RNA, 409 nt
Filed under: Fusobacteriota bacterium
Lineage: Bacteria; Fusobacteriati; Fusobacteriota
Description: Fusobacteria bacterium partial 16S ribosomal RNA
Rfam family: Bacterial small subunit ribosomal RNA
Source: RNAcentral